This is a long non-coding RNA of Oreochromis niloticus (Nile tilapia), 1706 nucleotides long. The record is from Ensembl. Lineage: Eukaryota; Metazoa; Chordata; Actinopteri; Cichliformes; Cichlidae.
UUUCACUCUUCUCCACAGCUGGCUGACAGACCAACAACAGCACAAGUCAGAGAUGCCCACAGGCUGAUUGUACCACAUAUACAACCCGGUCUGACAACAGAUGCUCUCUUCAGCCCGCAGGCUGUCGUGGAUGCCGCCUUCCCAGAAGGCCACUGGCUAGCAGCUCGUUAGUGUGUCAACUAACUGACCACCCACGACUCUGCCUGCAUGCCUUGGCCUGGCCCCAGAGGCUCAUGGGUAAUCUGUCAUCCAGUGUGUGUGCUGCAGCCUGCUGAUAGCAGACCUUCAGUCAGAGAGGAUGGAGCUGUGAUGUUUCUAUCAGCAGACAAGCAAAUGAACGAACUUCCAGCUGAGCCUCUGAAGCCACAUCAGCUGCCUCCCUCCUCUUCCUCCUCACCCCGUCCUCUGUCAGCCCUUUCUUUUGUCUCACUUUAUCCCCCCGUGCCACUCUGUGACUCUUUUCUUCUCUUUCGUAAACGGUUAAAGUCACUCCUAGAAUAUGUUAUGUUCCUUUAUCGUCCCCGUUGACGCUUUCAUCACAGCUGUGAAACAUUUUCUUGUGAAAACAGCAGAGUCCCAUUAAUCAUUUCAGUCGAUUGUCCAGUUCUGGUAUCAGUGUUGGAAUGUUUGAUGAGGUUUGGACUGCUGGAGGAAGUUCGGGUGGAGUCCAGUGGGAGUCGGUCCAGCUGCUGCUGCUGCUGUUCAACAGCCUGAAGCUGUUUACCUGAUCAUUAGUUCGCCUGAUGUUACUACUCAAACACACAGACCUUUUUUUUUUUUUUUUUUACACCUUAGUUUGGAAAGAUUAGAGCAUAUAAAUACAGAAUAUGUAUGAGAGACCCGAGGAGCAAUGAUUUCAAUGGAUGUAAGUCUUUAGAGUAGCUCUGUUAUUCUUACAUAUAUGCUUAUUUCCUUAAAAUCAUGUUAAUCUAAACAUGGACUCCAUCUGAAGUCCACUUGUUGUCAUAUUGAUAUGACUAAUCAGUUUUUGCUGGCUUCGGUUGCGGCACAUAAAAAGGAAACUGUGGAGAGCAAAAAAGGAAAAGUAUUUGCAGAAACGUGUCAUGCAUCACAGUCUAGGCUCAAAUUGUGUUCAAAUAAGGAACGUAAAACGGCAAAUACAUUAUUUUACCAAAGUACACAUUACAUGUACUUUAGUCAAAUCUUUCAGAGAUGUCUGCUGGCUACCAGAAACAUAUUUAAAAAUUCUAUAGGAUGCUCAAAGUGACAACAUAGAGGAAACUUAAUGUCUUGUUUUGACAAAUUGCAGUUAUAUAUUUCUCUUAAAAAAAAAAAAAUUAAAAGGUGAUAGUAGGGCUUACAUUUCUCUGGCACUGUGAUGAAAUCUGAUGACAGUUAUGUGUAUAGCAAAUAAUCUUGUUCAUUUUUUCUAACUGUCACAUAACUAGAAAAUGGCUGCACAUGCAUGUAUGAAGCCAGACCUCCCUCAUGUCUUAGUCUGAUAUAUUUUAGACUAACAUACAGUCAAAGUAUAUUUGAAAAAUUUUAUCUUUAAGAUGCUCUGAGUGAAAUAAACUUUUAUUAUUUAAAAAAAAAAAGCCUGUGUUGUAUAUUAACAACAUUGUUUAAAUAUUAAGAAACAUAAACCUGCAAGCUUUUUAAGUAUGUGCUGUAAUACAUGCAGUUAUGCACACUGUCUUAUUUUUGUGACAGCGAUUUAAUUUAAUGGGUGAACCCUCAAUAAA